UUGCGAACGGGUGAGUAACACGUGGGUGAUCUGCCCUGCACUUCGUGAUAAGCCUGGGAAACUGGGUCUAAUACCGGAUAGGAGCCAUUUUUAGUGUGAUGGUUGGAAAGUUUUUUCGGUGUAGGAUGAGCUCGCGGCCUAUCAGCUUGUUGGUGGGGUAAUGGCCUACCAAGGCGGCGACGGGUAGCCGGCCUGAGAGGGUGGACGGCCACAUUGGGACUGAGAUACGGCCCAG
Molecule: ribosomal RNA, 235 nt
Filed under: uncultured Actinomycetales bacterium
Lineage: Bacteria; Bacillati; Actinomycetota; Actinomycetes; Actinomycetales
Description: partial 16S ribosomal RNA
Rfam family: Bacterial small subunit ribosomal RNA
Source: RNAcentral